AGCCUCCCCACUCCGGCUGCACACGCCACACCAGCAGGGCCCUUCCCGGGUGUGUUCGCACAAUGGCCAUAAACAGCGCUCAGGGCAUACCUGGGGGAGGGGGGUGUUCCCUGACUAAGGCUCACCCGAUGCUCUCUCCACCGGGGCAGUGGCGCUCAAGGAGUGGCUGACCCAAAGGUCACUGCGUUAUUGGAGACAGGCUGGAAAUGUGUCUGUUUGUUUUGUACUAAGGACAUUCGCUGGCACUUACAGAGCGAUUGCUUGCGGCAGGCAUUGUGCUGAGCAUUUUAGAUGCACCCUCUUUCGUGAUUUAUUCAUCGCUGCAACAAGUGUGUUUUGAGCCCCUCUUGCCAGACACCUGCUCGAUGUGGAGAUAAACCACCAGGGAGCGUCGCUGCCCUCGUGGAGGUCACGGUCGGCUGCAGAAAAGAGACGACAGACAGACAUACAAAUUAAUGAGCAUCAUUGGAGCCCGAGACACGGACUGGGAUGAAAUGAACAAGGCAAUGAGACAGACUGCGAGCGGGCAUACACAACGCUAGAGCUCCGUGGGGACACUGCCCGAAGCCCCGUCCUGGCUCGCCUCUCCACGACCCCCACCGCACCCCGUUUCUCAGCGAGCAGGCAGCCAUGGUCCGCGCAGUCUGCAAGUUUACCCUUCAAGGGGUAGCAGGGAGGCCCUGUCCUCAGCCUCCUCCGUGCUCCUGGGCUGGGCUGCAGGAGGGACGAGGGGCACGGGACCUCCCAGGUUGGGGAGCCAAAGGCUGAUCCUGGGAGAAAGCAGCAAGCCAGCGUUGGUGGUUGAUGGCCAGUAUGGGCUUGGAAUCAGGCAGACCGCCGGUCUGCUGUCCGCACUCUAACCUCUUGUCUGUAAAGUGGGAAUGAUAAUAAUGGUACUUGCUUAGUCAGAUCGCGUCACAAAGACCGGAGGCGGUUCCUGGCCCCAGUGGUCCAAAGCCCCUCCCUUCUGAACGUGGCCGUCCAGGUCUCUGGAGAUGCUGGGCGCUGGUUGGCUUAGCGCAGAACUCCUGAACCAAACAACUGACUCAGAGCCGAGGGGCUGGUCCACCUGACUGUCCACAGCAUCCAGCACAGGGCUCAGCAGGGGUGGGACCUUCGAGAGGGCUUGCUAAAUAAAUGCGGAAUGGUGCCACACUUCUGUAAGCUCAGAGUCGUGAGAGAGCAGCCAUCAGUUAAAUAAACAAACCUUCGGACUAGGGUUUCUCAGGAGAACGUCUGGAAUCGCUAGGGGAAGCGGGGUGGGCUGAAUUAUCUCCCCGAAAGACAUGCAGCUCGCAAUGCCUGGAACCUGUCAAUGUUCCCUUCCGAGGAGCACGGGGCAUCAAAGGGGUGAUUAAAGUAAGGGUCUCAGAGAGGGAAAGAAUAGCCUGGCUUGUCUGGACCAGCCCUGGAUGUAAUCCCGAGGAAGCAGAGGGAGCUUUGACACAGCGGAUGUGAGGGCGGAGGCUGGAGUGAUGUGGCCGCGAGCCAAGGGAAGCCCCAGCCCCACCAGCACCUUGAUUUUGCCCCCACACCCACCCCUGUCCUCCACGGAGACCCAGCUUGGGGCGUGGCCUUCAGGACUGUGAGAGAUUAGGGGCGCCUGAAGCUCGCUCGGUUGGUCGGUUGGUCGAGUGUCUGGCUCCUGGUUUCGGCUCAGGUCAUGAUCU
This is a long non-coding RNA of Suricata suricatta (meerkat), 1670 nucleotides long. RefSeq lists it as uncharacterized. The transcript has 3 exons. The record is from RefSeq and is a predicted model, not a curated record. NCBI's taxonomy places the organism in Eukaryota, Metazoa, Chordata, Mammalia, Carnivora, Herpestidae.